GUUUUAAUUGUACUUUUUGUUUCCUGCAGAUCGGACCUCGGGAAGUGCUUCAUUUAUCAGAAGCAGAAUACAAUGUUGUAGGUGUAAGCAAUACUGGAGAUAGGGCUCGACUCGCCAGUUUAUAAGUGGAGAAGCUGAGUCGCCAGUACUGACAAAAGUGAAAGAAUUCCAACAGAAGCGAAAAAGAAAGAAACUCAGCUUUAGUCUAACAACACUAAAUAACCAUAAACCCAGCAAAACAAGACGUGUGACUGUUGGCUGGAAACACAAGACAAGUGACACGUAUCAUUUGGUUGAUCCAAAAAAGGGUGGUGGCAAGCAAGUUAUCGAUAUGGACAAAUGUCUAUCAAUAGAUGAAGCAACAUCACUAGUGGCAGCAAAGUACUUUCCAAGAGAAAGAAAUUUGACAGCAAAGAUGAAUCUGUCCGGUCUAACAUAUUUUCUUGCUUCAUUUAUUGGUGAAACCAUUGACUCUGAUACCUAUUCAACAAUAGGAGAUUUCUUCAACAGCCUCAAGACAUCACCCAUACGGAUUUAUCUUCAUACAGAGUUGAAGACUUCAUUGCCAGUUGAUUCUUCAGAUGAUGAUUUACCUUCUAUCAACAGACAGCCCAGCAUCAAUCACAGGUUGAAGCUGAGCACCAGACCGCAUUUUUAAGACAGAGGGCGCCGUAUAAAAAAUAACAGCUCCAUCUUCGGUGCAACGUCCAUUUUCACCUCGGGGAAUCUACACAACGACGAUAACUACCGCUGAGUACCGGUUUGUACAUUUAUUAUUGUUUUAAACUUUUUUCUAUUAUUUACCACAGUUCAAAGGUUUUAAAUCAUUAAUAUGUGUUAAGAAACCAAUGUCGUUAGACAGUCAAUGAAUAGCGUACUUGUGUCAUUUCCUGGACUAGUCAUUUCCGUACUCAAAUUAGCUCGUACCCAUUUUUGGUCACGAUAUAUUGAUCGUAUGAAAAUUAAUUUUCUGCAGAUUAAAUCAUAGGCGCUUGAUGGUAUGAGCGAGUAACCCCUGUGAUUAUGGAUUUUACAACAUAAUACUAUAGAUUAUUUAGAUCUAGACAUCAGUAGUUCAUUACUUACAUGUAGUCAGUGUUAGUUGUCAUUGCUGAAAGUUUGGAUAAAAUCUGUCAAAUAAUGAAUGAGGAGUUCAGGUCACAAAAAUGUGUGAUGGACUGACAGACAGAAGGACGGGGGACAGACGGAAGGACAAAGUGAUUCCAAUAUCCCCCCUCAGCCUUACAUAUCCCCCCCAACCUAAGCCAAGGUUGAGGGGGGCAUAACAACUAUUUUUUCCAGAAUAGAAUUGAAUAGAAUAAUUCUACUUUCCAAUCAGACAUUCAAUCACACUUAUGGCCACUCAAGGCAUAGCUUGUUGUUAAAGAGGAACAACAAUUGUGUCACUAUUAAACAAAAAAUAUAACUACAGGGUGUUCCCAAAUGUAAAGUAACCAAUACUUUUUAUAUUCAUUUUUAAUAAAUUGAUGGUCACAUAUUUUUACAUCUGUUUGUAACUCAAAUACUUUACAAAUGUUUGAAAGGGUACACAUAGGCAUUUUAUUCAUGUAAAGUAGUGAAAGAAGCAAAUACUGUGAAUUCAUUAUUAUUUGUCGGGUUAAAUUUUUAUUGGCUUAUCCUGGUUGUUUGUUGCAGUAGAUUGACAAAUAUGUGCUUUAACAUACUUGCAACACACCAGGUUAUCUUCUGCAUGCCCCCCACCCCACCCCACCCCACUCACGACGCGCACGCCACUAGCGAUGAGGAUGUAGUUUGUUUUCCAUUUUUUUUUUUUGUAUUUCUUAUAUAUUUUUCAUUUCUGAUUGAUAUACCUGUGAUCUGUGAUGCAUAGGUCAAAAACAGUAGCUUCAUGGCAGGUCAUAUCAGUGACGGUUUCACAUUUAGUGUGAUGCCACGGAAGUGCUGUGUCAAGUCGCUUUCCAUGCAGAUGUCAUUUAUAAAUACGGCUAGAUGCGAAAACGAACUAAAAGAUCAAGCCGAAUUUCAGGUGGAUUUUUUAUAAAGCGACCUGGAUACAUUUUUAUUACAUGUUUAAGCCAAACGAGCCAUGCCAUUAGAAAACCAACAUAGUGGCUUUGCGACCAGCAUGGUUCCAGACUAGCCUGCGCAACUGCGCAGUCUGGUCAGGAUCCAUGCUGUUCGCUAAUGGUUGGUCUAAUCGGAAUUCGAAUCAACACAACAACACUUCCCCAACAUCCUGACUCCCCUCGCCCUCAACUCCCCCCCCUCCGGGUACACCCCCAA
Molecule: long non-coding RNA, 2265 nt
Organism: Mercenaria mercenaria
Lineage: Eukaryota; Metazoa; Mollusca; Bivalvia; Venerida; Veneridae
Exons: 5
Source: RefSeq, a predicted model, not a curated record